Prinia subflava (tawny-flanked prinia) is the source of this 488-nucleotide long non-coding RNA. RefSeq lists it as uncharacterized. The record is from RefSeq and is a predicted model, not a curated record. The transcript is spliced from 5 exons. Lineage: Eukaryota; Metazoa; Chordata; Aves; Passeriformes; Cisticolidae.
AGUGAAAAAAAACCUAUAAGGAAAUACUGGGAUUUGAAGAGGGGUAUAAAACCAGCUCCUUUCUCUCACUAAAUGAUUCAGUACCCUUGUGGGUCUGAGUCUGCACCUCCUUCAUUUACACACCUGCAGAGCAGCCAGGACCAGGCUUGAGCAGAGACAUCACAGCUCUCGCUGCUGCCGCACCGACCAUGGCUGCGCAGGUAUUCCUUGUGGGAAUCGCCAUAGUCCUUGCAUAUUUCGCAGGAUGAUGGCGUCAGAGGGAGAAUGGCUAUGAGGGAAACCAAGGGUAUGGUGGCCAGGGAAGAUCUCCUCCUCAUCACUACCAGCCAUGACCAGAAACAGAUUUGCUUCCUUCCAAGCAGCCUGAUGCGUGUCUUCCCACUGCAGCAACUGGAAAGCCCCCGCUGCCCCCAAGCUGCCCCUUCCACAGAUUUGCAUUGCCUUGAACCAUAAAUGCUUUGAAAGCUUAAUAAAAGUGCAUUGCAGGA